Molecule: non-coding RNA, 150 nt
Organism: Pelobates cultripes (western spadefoot toad)
Lineage: Eukaryota; Metazoa; Chordata; Amphibia; Anura; Pelobatidae
Source: the annotation of a GenBank genome assembly
UAUUGGGUAGGUGAAAAACAAGUAUGGAUUUAAAGUGGGGAAUAUUGGCAAAUCAAAGCUGAAAUUUAAUUAUCUUCUAUUUUUGUGAUUUUAUAUUAAUACCUCACUUCCAUUGCUUUAAAUCCACACUUGUUUUUCACCCACCCAAUA